This is a long non-coding RNA of Dipodomys ordii (Ord's kangaroo rat), 496 nucleotides long. RefSeq lists it as uncharacterized. The record is from RefSeq and is a predicted model, not a curated record. The transcript has 4 exons. Lineage: Eukaryota; Metazoa; Chordata; Mammalia; Rodentia; Heteromyidae.
GCCAAUUUACCUCACAAAUCAAUGGCUAAAACAACCAAAUGCAAGCUACUUCGGGGGUAACAGAAUCUAAGAACAUAUAUUUAUAUUUGCAUAAAAAUUUGGAAGUAUACAAAAAGCUAAUGGAAGUGUUAACUGAAUACUCACGUGAUAACUAAGAGUUUUUUUUCAGGCUCCUGGUGAGUUAGAACUGGAAAGACUCAAGAUAUCAUUGUGUCUGCUUCCCAUUCAAUGCUGGCAUGUCUUAUACAAUUCUCUGAACAAUUUUGAGAGAUAAAAGUUAUGAGUCCAGAUUUCAUUAAGAAAUGUUGUGAAAAUAAAUUCCAGCACAAGCAGCCAUCCACUAACGUCUUUGCCACCUCGUCUGUUGGAGCAGAUUCUUCCUGAGAUGGCUUGGGGAAGGUACUCUGUGAUUUCAGCACGUCAAGCACACAUCCAUGUGUUACGAAGACGUGGCACAUAUGGCAAUUAGGAAAAAAACGAUUAAACUAUUAGGACA